UAUGUACUUCGGUUUGGGUUCAUCAAAAGGGGCAAUCUUUGAGCAUUUGUAUCAACUGCCGGGGAUCUCAAGUUCACAUGGAGUGCACUAUGAUCAAGUGCAUUCUGGUGCUAUGAUGAUUGUGACAGAAGAUAUUAGCUGCAGAAGCAAUCGCUAUGUCUCAACUCCAAUAUUAAAAAUCAGUGCACCUAAAUUACGACACAAUUUUUCUCAUCUGGAACUGCGCUUAUAAGGUGUUUGGUCUGAAAGCUACACUCCUACAAUGUGGUAUAAAAGGUUCAUGAAAUCAUCAGGAUUUUGACCUCCAUAGGAAAUCUGCAAGGGGAACAACAACAAAGGAAACUGGUGUAAGAUUGAGUACUAAGACUUGAAGAUGGGCUACCAUCAAGAUUAUGUCUUGACAAUCAAGUAUAAUGAAUUUUUUUACCGAACUCACAGAAGUAGAUUGUGUAUCCCAUCUAGCGUUCAACCUAAUGGACAUCGAGGGAACCACUUUGAGUAGGCAAUUGUUUGUGUGGAGGAAAAUGCAUGGUACUA
This is a long non-coding RNA of Triticum dicoccoides, 537 nucleotides long. RefSeq lists it as uncharacterized. NCBI's taxonomy places the organism in Eukaryota, Viridiplantae, Streptophyta, Magnoliopsida, Poales, Poaceae. The record is from RefSeq and is a predicted model, not a curated record. The transcript has 4 exons.